Molecule: non-coding RNA, 163 nt
Organism: Caenorhabditis elegans
Lineage: Eukaryota; Metazoa; Nematoda; Chromadorea; Rhabditida; Rhabditidae
Source: Ensembl
CCCCUUCGGACCUCGCAAUCGACGAUCAGCAUCGAGGCGGUGUCGAGUCUUUGAAGUGGAGAAUUGCGUAGUGUGUCUCCUCUUCUUGGUGCUGCCAGCGUUGACGAUUUGAAUCGCGAUGAUUGCCGCCACAAAUAUAACCGCGACGCGCGGACCGCUUCGC